UCUAAUCUUAUUUACGUCUCUUAGUAAUUUUUUCAUUACUUUUGUCAUUCGUCAAUUUUUGCACCGUCCGUUAUUUUGGGCGGUGUUUAAGGUUCUUGAGCCGUUAAGGUUAGAACUUCUGGAUAUGGUGAUCUGAUCUGCGCCUCACCAAUAUCCCUCAUUUCUUAAGCCCGUCGUUAAUUUCGGCCUACCUUUGCGUCUUAUGCAGGACACGAUGUCGAGGACGAAAAAGACGGCAAACAUUGCUGACUUGUGGCUAAGGGGUCAGCAGAUGGACCCUUCUUUCUCAGGGGGGAGAUCCAUCAGAGUGCCGACGGGGGAAAUAAGCCGGACUCCGCCAGGCGAGGCUAAAAGCUCUCGUCAAGGAGUUACAUACUUUGAUGAGUUUUGGAUGGAGGAGAUGGAAGAUGCUGGUCCAUCGAGACAACCCGCCGACUCGUUCGAGGAGUCGGAGCAAGAUGAGAGCAACGGCGAGGUUGUGGGUGAAGAUGCCGAAGAGGAGGCAGUUGGAGUGACUCAAGUUGUUGCUGGAGGUGUACAGGGGGAGAAUGCUCAAAUUUCUGCGGAUCAGAUUGGGGCUGAUCCGAAGUGGUUAAAAUGGUUGGAGAAACAUGGGGAGAAUUAUGCCGCUGGCAUGAAUACCGGCCCUGGUUAUGAGAUGAGGUUUCUUGAAAGCGAGGCGUCCACUAUUUUUGACGUGGGCCCAGGUUAGUCAAGUGUAUGCUGGAGCUUUCAAGAGUGGUUUACGAUUUUCAGUCCACCCUUUUGUGGAGGAAGUGUUGGAUGGGUUCGGCAUUGGUCUUUGCCAAUUGUCCCCCAAUUCGUGGACGAACGUACUUGGAUACGUUGUUAAGUGUGAGUUGUUGGGCCUAAGGCCGUCUUUUAAUGCUUUUCUAAGUUUGGUGCGUUUUCAGAAGGUAAAGGGAGCCGAAGGUUGGUUCCAAUUGGCUAACAAGGGUGAGUAUGCUACUACCUUUGACAAGCCGUCAAAACAUCAUUUUUGGAGAAUGAGAUGGGUGGUGAUGUGGACCGCGGACGAGGAGGCGGAGCUGAAGUUUUGCCGUUGGCAGUUGGAGCCCCGCUUUGCUGGGGGAAAUGAGGAGUUGCCGGCCCUGACGGCACAAGAGUGGGAUCAGAUUGUUGUCCACUUCGAGGCUGAGUCUGUGACGGUGCAGACUAAGAACUUGCACAUCCCUAAAUCCUGGCUCCCGUCAUGUUCUCAGUUUAAAGAUCCAGUGUUUCUGGCAGCGGCUGGUCUAGAUCAUGGGUUAGACCAAGAUAUCGAGGCAUUACUGCUUAUUUGUGUUAGCUAUUAUUUACUAACUGACAAAGGUAUAAAUUUUUUUUUGCAGUCGUUGCCAUGUCUAAGCUCCCGGCCCAGGAAAAAGGAGGAAUUAGCACCAAAGAGUGGUUGACUCAAAUGGUCGACCAGAAGCUGAAGGGGAUCGUUGGAGGUGCCCCGGAAAAAGUAAGUUGUUUAUUUUUUAUUAGCUUUGGUAUAUGGCUCGGCAUUUUCCUUUAUGUUACCUGUGCUGUUAUUGUAGAAGGGCGAGAAGAGUCAGGCCAGCCCCAAGCGCAAGGCCGAGGACAAGCACGCUUCUACUGCGGGGAAACGUCCCAAGGUUAAGGCGGGAAUCAGGCGUCCUAAGAAGGAGGACGUAGCUGAGAGGUCGGCUGAUUCCCCUGUCGAGGUCGUUCCCAUGGCCGUGACUCCUCUGCGGCAGCAUCCUCUUCCAGAGGGUUCGGUCAAGAAGGGGGACGCCAGAGGAGGAACCGGGCCCAGCAAGAGGGCUCCUUCGCCUACGCCGGUUGAGAUCCUCGAUGGUGAGGACGAGCAGCCAAUAGCUCGGGCGGCCCAGACUCUGGAGGCGCCUCGUCACCGGGUGAGCGAUGAUCCAGGCAGGCGGCACUGGACGAGGAAAUUCGCAACAUUCCUCCGUUACGGCAGUUUGGGGCCAUGCAGGGGGUUCUCCUGGAUGUAUGCGUCCAACUUUUGUUGUCGUUUCGUCUUUGUACUUUGCGGUUAUUAUCCUCUCUAACUUAUAUUGUUCUCGCAGCUGUUUAUUAAAGCCGAGGGCUUCAAGCGCUGGCGAGCUGACGUCACCAGUCAGCUUCAGCGGCAGGUUCAUCGGGCCACCAAUGUCGGCGACUAUGCCAUGGUGACGGUGGAGAAGGUUCGGCUGGAAAUGCAGGAGACCAUUGAGGCUCAGAGCAAAGAGCUUUCCGUCCUGAGGAGUGACAAGAAGCAGUGCUUGAUUAAAAUAAAUGAACAAGUACUUACUAUUGAAACCCUCAAUGCCGAAGCCCUUUCUGCCCAGUCGUUCCUCCAAGAAGCUGAAGCCAAGGUGAAGGAAGCCGUGGGCCUACGGCAACAGGUGGCUAGCCUUGAGGAGAUGGUCUCGGCUUCUCAAGCUGAGAUUUCUCAAGUCAGGGCUGAGGCUAAGCUGGUCGCGGACGAGACGAGGGAGAGAACUCGCCGAGCAUGAGACGCCUACAUGGAGGACUUCUCUUUUGCCUAGUUUGAGCGGCAGAUUGAGAAGCAAGGUGCCAUCAUUGCCGCCGAGCGACAAGGUAUUCCUCCUCCCGUGUUUGAGGAUUCUGACGCCGAAAGUGAGGAGGUGAACUCACCGGCCCAGGAGGAGGGAACUUCUACUCAACCAGCCCAAAAGCCUGCUGCCGACGGUCCAGAUGGUGUGGACGCGUCGACCUCUGCCAACUCUGCCGCUGCUCAACCUGCUAGACCCUAACUCCAUUUCUCCUCAUCAAAACAAGUUUAUAUGGCGCCGCGAGCGUCUAUAAUGAAUAAUUUUUAUUCCUGUUUGACACCUAGGGCGUUUGUUUGGAUAAUUUUUCAUUUUUGUUUGGAUUUGGCGCUGUUUUGUGCGCAAACAGGUGGUGAUUCGUCACCUUUUUUAUGUUUUACGUUUUUAUAUUGGGACUUUUAAACGCCUUCUCUGUUAUGUGUAUGUUUUGUGUGUUAUUGGACGUCUAGCUUUGUGCCCCAGAGCAGGUGUUU
This is an RNA transcript of Spinacia oleracea (spinach), 3016 nucleotides long. RefSeq lists it as uncharacterized. The transcript has 2 exons. NCBI's taxonomy places the organism in Eukaryota, Viridiplantae, Streptophyta, Magnoliopsida, Caryophyllales, Amaranthaceae. The record is from RefSeq and is a predicted model, not a curated record.